RNAcentral lists this ribosomal RNA (404 nucleotides) under uncultured Oscillospiraceae bacterium. RNAcentral describes it as "bacterial SSU rRNA". It matches the Rfam family "Bacterial small subunit ribosomal RNA", at positions 356 to 774 of the family's 1533-position model. Lineage: Bacteria; Bacillati; Bacillota; Clostridia; Eubacteriales; Oscillospiraceae. The record is from RNAcentral.
GGGGGAUAUUGCACAAUGGAGGAAACUCUGAUGCAGCAACGCCGCGUGAGGGAAGAAGGUCUUCGGAUUGUAAACCUUAGUAGUCAGGGACGAAAGAAAUGACGGUACCUGAAGAGUAAGCUCCGGCUAACUACGUGCCAGCAGCCGCGGUAAUACGUAGGGAGCGAGCGUUGUCCGGAUUUACUGGGUGUAAAGGGUGCGUAGGCGGGACUGCAAGUCAGACGUGAAAUACCGAGGCUUAACUUCGGGGCUGCGUUUGAAACUGUGGUUCUUGAGUGAAGUAGAGGCAGGCGGAAUUCCUAGUGUAGCGGUGAAAUGCGUAGAUAUUAGGAGGAACACCAGUGGCGAAGGCGGCCUGCUGGGCUUUAACUGACGCUGAAGCACGAAAGCAUGGGGAGCAAACA